Rosa rugosa (rugosa rose) is the source of this 687-nucleotide long non-coding RNA. RefSeq lists it as uncharacterized. NCBI's taxonomy places the organism in Eukaryota, Viridiplantae, Streptophyta, Magnoliopsida, Rosales, Rosaceae. The record is from RefSeq and is a predicted model, not a curated record. The transcript is spliced from 2 exons.
AAAACUUGUAAUCGAAAAUAGUUUUAUUAAUGCAAUCUGUUUUGAAUUUGAAUUCAAAUAGUAUGGUUAUUUAGAAUAAUUCAUCAGAUAAAGACAAGGAAGUUAUAAGACAGUUCCUUGAUGGAAGGAACUGCCUUAACUGCUUUUCUAAUAUAAAGUGGAUUACAACGCCUUCAUUGAUCCCUGCUAGAGCACCACACCUCAAUCAAAUUGUCCCAUUAACAAUAUGAGAUCAAGGGUGAAUCUACGAGAAGAACAAUGCAAGGAGGCAGUGGAUCUAUUGAAGCCACAUAGCGUGAAAUCUAAAAGGAGUAUUAAUUCUAGUACGUCUGCCAUCGGGCUUCAACCUGAGCAAAAUAGGGCAGUGAUCUGAUUUCAUUCUAGCAAGAUGAACAAGGCAAGCAUCAGGAUAUAGGACCCUCCAUUCAUCAGUGCAGAAACUUCUAUCCAAUCUCUCCUUAACCCAGCUAGUAGCCCAAGUAUAAUCUUUGGGAACUUUUGAUGUUGGAGAUUCCCACAAGAAGGCCGGAGAAAGUGAUGGUCUCUGUGGAAUUCCAAGACAAACAGAAAUGGUGUAUUGUAGAUUUGUAGUAUCCUUCCUUGCAAGAUCCGGAUGAAUCCAAUAUUAAGCACUAUUUGAGUAUUAUAUAAUUUUUUUGAUGGGGAAAAUACAAUUCUGAUUUCUGA